UGAAAUUUCAUUAGUGAACUUUUUAAAAAAUGGACACAUAUUUUUGAAUAAAUAUCUGAAGAUUCCUCAUUAAGUCAACAGAAUCUGAAUUUGCCAUCUGAUACAUAUGAAAUGUAUUUCAAUGAAAAAACAUACCCCGAAUGCAAGGUUUAUUUCUUCUUUAAAAGAGUAUAUUCACUUGCUUCAGGAAGUUGCCAAAAAUAGGGCCAUUUCCCAAAGGCAUUUCUUCUACAACAUUUGGUGAGAGAAUAAAGGGAUCUGAGCUUCCUGACCAAGAAGUCCAAUAAAGUGAAGCUGAUCCCGGCACAGGCUCUAAGUCACAAACAUUUAGAAGCAUUGGUUGGUUUCCCACAAAAUUUCCAUAUGCCCUUAUUUACACCUCUCACAAGGCAUAAUUUUGACUCAGAGUUAAAUAAUCUGUCACAGAAAAACUGUAAACUUUUUGAAAAGUUCUGGUUAUUAUAAUAUUUCUGCAUUUAUAUUCCAUCACAUCAGUAUUAAAGGCUUUCAGUUACAGUGCUGCUGGGGAUAAAGAGCUAAAAUGCCUUUGCUCACAGGUGCAUUAAAUCCUAUUAAAGAAUCUUCCUUAUAGCACAUACCUCAUUACUGCAUACAAAGGGCUGGAUUAUAAAAUGAAGGUGAAGUGUACAAAGUAUGAUGUGCUAUGACUUGGUGUGCAUAUGCCAAAGUCAUUAGGUUUUACACUGUACCCCGACGAUAGCAGGUUUCAUCUUCCUAUUGAGCAGCUUCAGUGGAGAAUGCUUCUGGGUCAAGUAGACUGACAUGGGGUUAUGUUUCUCAAUACAG
Molecule: long non-coding RNA, 807 nt
Filed under: Bos taurus (domestic cattle)
Lineage: Eukaryota; Metazoa; Chordata; Mammalia; Artiodactyla; Bovidae
Description: long non-coding RNA NONBTAT011133
Source: RNAcentral